RNAcentral lists this ribosomal RNA (1333 nucleotides) under metagenome. RNAcentral's name for it is "bacterial SSU rRNA". It matches the Rfam family "Bacterial small subunit ribosomal RNA", at positions 75 to 1403 of the family's 1533-position model. The record is from RNAcentral.
GGAGCUUGCUCCGCUGACGAGUGGCGAACGGGUGAGUAAUAUAUCGGAACGUACCAUUCAGUGGGGGAUAACGUAGCGAAAGUUACGCUAAUACCGCAUAUUCUGUGAGCAGGGAAGCAGGGGAUCGCAAGACCUUGCGCUGAUUGAGCGGCCGAUAUCAGAUUAGCUUGUUGGUGAGGUAAAAGCUCACCAAGGCGACGAUCUGUAGCGGGUCUGAGAGGAUGAUCCGCCACACUGGAACUGAGACACGGUCCAGACUCCUACGGGAGGCAGCAGUGGGGAAUUUUGGACAAUGGGGGCAACCCUGAUCCAGCCAUGCCGCGUGAGUGAAGAAGGCCUUCGGGUUGUAAAGCUCUUUCAGCCGGGAAGAAAACGCAUGGGUUAAUACCCUGUGUGGAUGACGGUACCGGAAUAAGAAGCACCGGCUAACUACGUGCCAGCAGCCGCGGUAAUACGUAGGGUGCGAUCGUUAAUCGGAAUUACUGGGCGUAAAGCGUGCGCAGGCGGUUUUGUAAGACAGGCGUGAAAUCCCCGGGCUUAACCUGGGAACUGCGUUUGUGACUGCAAGGCUAGAGUACGGCAGAGGGGGGUGGAAUUCCACGUGUAGCAGUGAAAUGCGUAGAGAUGUGGAGGAACACCAAUGGCGAAGGCAGCCCCCUGGGUCGAUACUGACGCUCAUGCACGAAAGCGUGGGUAGCAAACAGGAUUAGAUACCCUGGUAGUCCACGCCCUAAACGAUGUCAACUAGGUGUUGGGAGGGUAAAACCUUUUAGUACCGGAGCUAACGCGUGAAGUUGACCGCCUGGGGAGUACGGCCGCAAGGUUAAAACUCAAAGGAAUUGACGGGGACCCGCACAAGCGGUGGAUGAUGUGGAUUAAUUCGAUGCAACGCGAAAAACCUUACCUACCCUUGACAUGCCAAGAACUUUCCAGAGAUGGAUUGGUGCCCGAAAGGGAACUUGGACACAGGUGCUGCAUGGCUGUCGUCAGCUCGUGUCGUGAGAUGUUGGGUUAAGUCCCGCAACGAGCGCAACCCUUGUCGUUAAUUGCCAUCAUUUAGUUGGGCACUUUAACGAGACUGCCGGUGACAAACCGGAGGAAGGUGGGGAUGACGUCAAGUCCUCAUGGCCCUUAUGGGUAGGGCUUCACACGUCAUACAAUGGUCGGUACAAAGGGUCGCCAAGCCGCGAGGUGGAGCCAAUCCCAGAAAGCCGAUCGUAGUCCGGAUCGCAGUCUGCAACUCGACUGCGUGAAGUCGGAAUCGCUAGUAAUCGUGGAUCAGAAUGUCACGGUGAAUACGUUCCCGGGUCUUGUACACACCGCCCGUCACUGC